GCAGCCACAGAUCCAUUUGUUAAAACCGCAUAUCUGCAAUGUCUUCCACACGUUCACCUGGAACCUCCAAAUCUCAAGUAAGUCUGUUCAU
Etheostoma cragini (Arkansas darter) is the source of this 91-nucleotide long non-coding RNA. RefSeq lists it as uncharacterized. The transcript has 3 exons. NCBI's taxonomy places the organism in Eukaryota, Metazoa, Chordata, Actinopteri, Perciformes, Percidae. The record is from RefSeq and is a predicted model, not a curated record.